GACAGGACUCUCGGCAAUGGAUAUCUCGGCUCUUGCAUCGAUGAAGAGCGCAGCGAAAUGCGAUACGUGGUGMGAAUUGCAGAAUCCCGCGAAC
Molecule: ribosomal RNA, 94 nt
Filed under: Oncidium cariniferum
Lineage: Eukaryota; Viridiplantae; Streptophyta; Magnoliopsida; Asparagales; Orchidaceae
Description: 5.8S ribosomal RNA
Rfam family: 5.8S ribosomal RNA
About the family: 5.8S ribosomal RNA (5.8S rRNA) is a component of the large subunit of the eukaryotic ribosome. It is transcribed by RNA polymerase I as part of the 45S precursor that also contains 18S and 28S rRNA.
Source: RNAcentral